This 467-nucleotide long non-coding RNA is filed under the name Malus domestica (apple). Its description in RNAcentral is "long non-coding RNA (MDOM_LNC002630)". The record is from RNAcentral. Lineage: Eukaryota; Viridiplantae; Streptophyta; Magnoliopsida; Rosales; Rosaceae.
UUCUUAAAAUGUUUUGAACACAAUAUUCAUCAUUUUCCUUAUUUUUUAUUAUAUUUUUCUUUUUCCUUCACGUGGGCACCAUGAAUUUUCACUUAUCCUUUCAUUUUUUAAAAUUUUUUUCUCUAUUCCCACUUAUAUUUAUAUUAUAUUUUAUAAUGAUCAAAUUACCAAAUUACCCCUGCAUUAUUUGAUAUAUUAUAUUGGGCUGCGUUUGAAUUUUUUUAAUUGAGGGGCAAUUUUGUCCUAAUAUUUUUGUCAAAUGCGUGAUCCCAUAGUUUUUGUCAACAUGUGUGACCCCAAAUUGGGGCUCUCGCUUUCUAGUAUGUAGAUAUAGAUUACUCUUGUUAAGAUAGUUGUUUAAGAUUUCCUCGUUUAUUGGGUUAAACUUAAAAUUCUUAGACAAUGACUGACAAAUGGAAUCAUAAAGCACUAUCAUUACUUUACUAUAUUAUACUUUUCGUAGACGC